This 73-nucleotide transfer RNA is filed under the name Vibrionales bacterium SWAT-3. RNAcentral describes it as "tRNA-Gly". It matches the Rfam family "tRNA". Rfam says of the family: Transfer RNA (tRNA) molecules are approximately 80 nucleotides in length. The record is from RNAcentral. Lineage: Bacteria; Pseudomonadati; Pseudomonadota; Gammaproteobacteria; Vibrionales.
GCGACACUAGCUCAGCUGGUAGAGCGCAACCUUGCCAAGGUUGAGGUCACUAGUUCGAACCUCGUGUGUCGCU